CCAAACAAAACACACCGUAUCAUUUAAACGUAAUCAAAUUAAAAUGGGCUUCGUCUUGAAUAUUUAGCGGGCUCCUUCUUAUUAAGUUUUGUAAAAGUCAAAAAGUAACCCCGUUAAAGAGACUAAUAUUUUCUUAGCGCAAGCGAUAUCCAGUUUUAGGGUUCAUCUUCUUCUUUGAUCUUUCACCAACAAUGGAGUUUCAGGAGGGUUGAGUUAGACGAAUCGUCGUGAACAAUCCCUAUAUUAAACAUCGUAGUUUCGUUUUCGGUUCUUAUCCUCCGAAACGUUACGAGAUUAUUGAUUCAAUGCCAUUAACACCUUUUAACUCCUUCGACUACUACAGAUCACUCAUUCAAUGAUUCUUAUCUCCUUUACAUGCGGUGGAUCUCCACCUAUAUAAAGUUCAUACCUUUAACACAUCCCCGCAAUUCCUCAUAGCUAUACAUUGGUUUCCGACGAUUUGGUGUAUCGCUUAUUGUAAUGAUAUCAUCUCGCCGUCUUCUCCCUGUAGGUGAAACAAGAUUGUUCCAAAUCCUCACAGUUUGGUUUCCGACGACUCGGGAUCAUUAUUAGCUAUUGUGGCAGAGAAACGUGUCGUUGCAGUGCUGACAACUAUAGCAGAAGACGACAUCCCAAAUAUCAGUCAUGAGUUUGAGCCGGUGGAACAAAGAUCGAUGAUUUAUACAUUCAGUCAAAGGGAGUCUCUAAACAUUUUUAUUCAUAUGCUUUCUGCAGCAAAAGCUCCUGCAGUGCUUUGACCAUCAAGAUAUGUGUUUUGUAUGUUUCAGGUCAUGGGUUACUGCAAGUACUCCCCUACACAACAGCAUCACGAAUUGAGGGUGGAGCGGGAGAGAGGUUAGCAGUCUUUAAUUAUGGGAUGUUCUGUGCAUUACUAGCCAAAUAAAAUCUGUUCUGGAGUUGCGAAGUCAACAACAAUUUUCGAAGUACAGAAGUAGCAGCGGCAAUUGUGGGGAUGAUUGCUUGACUUUUUGACUUUCAUCGAUUGUCAUGCUCAAGGAUGAAGCUGAAAAAUCCUCAGAAGAGGGAUCAAAUGCAAGCUAAGCAUCCUGGAGUUCAUAGCCCGCAAAUCUAGCUAAUCCAUCUGUUUCACACGUUUUUUAAUUGAUGCGUGCAAGAAGACCAGCAGUCAUGGACUAAGAUUCAUACUUCUUCUACUCUAUACCAUCAUAUGUACGCCUUGAUAGUUUGAGAUUGAACAAGAAAUUACAACAUUGUUUCAUAGUUUGAGAAGAAGAAAUAUGGUGGUUGGUGACUGUUU
This is a long non-coding RNA of Brassica napus (rape), 1279 nucleotides long. RefSeq lists it as uncharacterized. The transcript is spliced from 6 exons. The record is from RefSeq and is a predicted model, not a curated record. Lineage: Eukaryota; Viridiplantae; Streptophyta; Magnoliopsida; Brassicales; Brassicaceae.